RNAcentral lists this ribosomal RNA (411 nucleotides) under uncultured bacterium. RNAcentral describes it as "bacterial SSU rRNA". It matches the Rfam family "Bacterial small subunit ribosomal RNA", at positions 29 to 440 of the family's 1533-position model. The record is from RNAcentral.
AUUGAACGCUGGCGGCGUGCCUAACACAUGCAAGUCGAGCGGUAACAGGUGUAGCAAUACAUGCUGACGAGCGGCGAACGGGUGAGUAAUGCUUCGGAAUCUACCCAAUGGUGGGGAAUAACCAGCCGAAAGGUUGGCUAAUACCGCAUACGUCCCACGGGAGAAAGCAGGGGAUCGCAAGACCUUGCGCCAAUGGAUGAGCCGAAGUCGGAUUAGCUAGNGGUAGGGUAACGGCCUACCAAGGCGACGAUCCGUAGCUGGUCUGAGAGGACGACCAGCCACACUGGGACUGAGACACGGCCCAGACUCCUACGGGAGGCAGCAGUGGGGAAUAUUGGACAAUGGGGGAAACCCUGAUCCAGCGACGCCGCGUGUGUGAAGAAGGCCUGCGGGUUGUAAAGCACUUUUAGU